GCAGCCGCGGUAAUACGUAGGUGGCAAGCGUUGUCCGGAUUUACUGGGUGUAAAGGGCGUGUAGCCGGGUUCUUAAGUCAGAUGUGAAAUCCACGGGCUCAACUCGUGAACUGCAUUUGAAACUGAGGAUCUUGAGUGCCGGAGAGGUCAUCGGAAUUCCUAGUGUAGCGGUGAAAUGCGUAGAUAUUAGGAAGAACACCAGUGGCGAAGGCGGAUGACUGGACGGUAACUGACGGUGAGGCGCGAAAGCGUGGGGAGCAAACAGGAUUAGAUACCCC
Molecule: ribosomal RNA, 278 nt
Filed under: uncultured bacterium
Lineage: Bacteria
Description: partial 16S ribosomal RNA
Rfam family: Bacterial small subunit ribosomal RNA
Source: RNAcentral